GACGAACGCUGGCGGCAUGCCUUACACAUGCAAGUCGAACGGCAGCACGGGGGCAACCCUGGUGGCGAGUGGCGAACGGGUGAGUAAUACAUCGGAACGUGUCCUGGAGUGGGGGAUAGCCCGGCGAAAGCCGGAUUAAUACCGCAUACGCUCUAUGGAGGAAAAGCGGGGGGACUCGCAAGGGCCUCGCGCUCAAGGGGCGGCCGAUGGCGGAUUAGCUAGUUGGUGGGGUAAAGGCCUACCAAGGCGACGAUCCGUAGCUGGUCUGAGAGGACGACCAGCCACACUGGGACUGAGACACGGCCCAGACUCCUACGGGAGGCAGCAGUGGGGAAUUUUGGACAAUGGGGGCAACCCUGAUCCAGCAAUGCCGCGUGUGUGAAGAAGGCCU
This 391-nucleotide ribosomal RNA is filed under the name uncultured bacterium. RNAcentral describes it as "bacterial SSU rRNA". It matches the Rfam family "Bacterial small subunit ribosomal RNA", at positions 28 to 417 of the family's 1533-position model. The record is from RNAcentral.